UUAGGAAAAGGCGUCAAUGGGGGAAACCCUGAACGAGCAAUGCCGCGUGAAGGAUGAAGGUCCUAUGGAUUGUAAACUUCUGUUGUUAGGGAAGAACGACUCAUAUAGGAAAUGAUAUGGGAGUGACUGUACCUUUCAAGAAAGCUCCGGCUAACUACGU
This 160-nucleotide ribosomal RNA is filed under the name uncultured bacterium. RNAcentral's name for it is "partial 16S ribosomal RNA". It matches the Rfam family "Bacterial small subunit ribosomal RNA", at positions 355 to 506 of the family's 1533-position model. The record is from RNAcentral.